RNAcentral lists this ribosomal RNA (1372 nucleotides) under uncultured bacterium. RNAcentral describes it as "bacterial SSU rRNA". It matches the Rfam family "Bacterial small subunit ribosomal RNA", at positions 28 to 1381 of the family's 1533-position model. The record is from RNAcentral.
GAUGAACGCUGGCGGCGUGCCUAAUACAUGCAAGUCGAGCGAACGGACGAGAAGCUUGCUUCUCUGAUGUUAGCGGCGGACGGGUGAGUAACACGUGGAUAACCUACCUAUAAGACUGGGAUAACUUCGGGAAACCGGAGCUAAUACCGGAUAAUAUUUUGAACCGCAUGGUUCAAAAGUGAAAGACGGUCUUGCUGUCACUUAUAGAUGGAUCCGCGCUGCAUUAGCUAGUUGGUAAGGUAACGGCUUACCAAGGCAACGAUGCAUAGCCGACCUGAGAGGGUGAUCGGCCACACUGGAACUGAGACACGGUCCAGACUCCUACGGGAGGCAGCAGUAGGGAAUCUUCCGCAAUGGGCGAAAGCCUGACGGAGCAACGCCGCGUGAGUGAUGAAGGUCUUCGGAUCGUAAAACUCUGUUAUUAGGGAAGAACAUAUGUGUAAGUAACUGUGCACAUCUUGACGGUACCUAAUCAGGAAGCCACGGCUAACUACGUGCCAGCAGCCGCGGUAAUACGUAGGUGGCAAGCGUUAUCCGGAAUUAUUGGGCGUAAAGCGCGCGUAGGCGGUUUUUUAAGUCUGAUGUGAAAGCCCACGGCUCAACCGUGGAGGGUCAUUGGAAACUGGAAAACUUGAGUGCAGAAGAGGAAAGUGGAAUUCCAUGUGUAGCGGUGAAAUGCGCAGAGAUAUGGAGGAACACCAGUGGCGAAGGCGACUUUCUGGUCUGUAACUGACGCUGAUGUGCGAAAGCGUGGGGAUCAAACAGGAUUAGAUACCCUGGUAGUCCACGCCGUAAACGAUGAGUGCUAAGUGUUAGGGGGUUUCCGCCCCUUAGUGCUGCAGCUAACGCAUUAAGCACUCCGCCUGGGGAGUACGACCGCAAGGUUGAAACUCAAAGGAAUUGACGGGGACCCGCACAAGCGGUGGAGCAUGUGGUUUAAUUCGAAGCAACGCGAAGAACCUUACCAAAUCUUGACAUCCUUUGACAACUCUAGAGAUAGAGCCUUCCCCUUCGGGGGACAAAGUGACAGGUGGUGCAUGGUUGUCGUCAGCUCGUGUCGUGAGAUGUUGAGUUAAGUCCCGCAACGAGCGCAACCCUUAAGCUUAGUUGCCAUCAUUAAGUUGGGCACUCUAAGUUGACUGCCGGUGACAAACCGGAGGAAGGUGGGGAUGACGUCAAAUCAUCAUGCCCCUUAUGAUUUGGGCUACACACGUGCUACAAUGGACAAUACAAAGGGCAGCGAAACCGCGAGGUCAAGCAAAUCCCAUAAAGUUGUUCUCAGUUCGGAUUGUAGUCUGCAACUCGACUACAUGAAGCUGGAAUCGCUAGUAAUCGUAGAUCAGCAUGCUACGGUGAAUACGUUCCCGGGUCU